This 275-nucleotide ribosomal RNA is filed under the name uncultured soil bacterium. RNAcentral describes it as "partial 16S ribosomal RNA". It matches the Rfam family "Bacterial small subunit ribosomal RNA", at positions 29 to 303 of the family's 1533-position model. The record is from RNAcentral.
AGAAAUGAACGCUGGCGGCGUGCUUUACACAUGCAAGUUGAGCGAGGCCACCCGCAAGGGUGAGUCGAGCGGCGAACGGGUGAGUAACGCGUGGAUGACCUGCCCUUUAGUGGGGAAUAACCCGGGGAAACUCGGGCUAAUACCGCAUAAGACCGAGAGGUGAAAGGCGGGGGUCGCAAGAUCUCGUGCGUAAAGGAGGGGUCCGCGUUCGAUUAGCUAGUUGGUAGGGUAAUGGCCUACCAAGGCGACGAUCGAUAGCCGGCCUGAGAGGGUGA